This 220-nucleotide unclassified non-coding RNA is filed under the name plant metagenome. Its description in RNAcentral is "partial contains small subunit ribosomal RNA, internal transcribed spacer 1, and 5.8S ribosomal RNA". The record is from RNAcentral.
GUUCCGUAGGUGAACCUGCGGAAGGAUCAUUACAGAGUUCACGCCCUCACGGGUAGAUCUCCCACCCUUGAAUAUUUAUACCUUAGUUGCUUUGGCAGGCCGUGGAAACACCAUGGGCUCCGGCUUAUGCGUGCCUGCCAGAGGAAACAAACUCUGUUUUUAGUGAUGUCUGAGUACUAUAUAAUAGUUAAAACUUUCAACAACGGAUCUCUUGGUUCUG